AGUGAACGCUGGCGGUAGGCCUAACACAUGCAAGUCGAACGGCAGCACAGAGGAGCUUGCUCCUUGGGUGGCGAGUGGCGGACGGGUGAGGAAUACAUCGGAAUCUACUCUGUCGUGGGGGAUAACGUAGGGAAACUUACGCUAAUACCGCAUACGACCUACGGGUGAAAGCAGGGGAUCUUCGGACCUUGCGCGAUUGAAUGAGCCGAUGUCGGAUUAGCUAGUUGGCGGGGUAAAGGCUCACCAAGGCGACGAUCCGUAGCUGGUCUGAGAGGAUGAUCAGCCACACUGGAACUUAGACACGGUCCAGACUCCUACGGGAGGCAGCAGUGGGGAAUAUUGGACAAUGGGCGCAAGCCUGAUCCAGCCAUACCGCGUGGGUGAAGAAGGCCUUCGGGUUGUAAAGCCCUUUUGUUGGGAAAGAAAUCCAUCUGGUUAAUACCCGGGUGGGAUGACGGUACCCAAAGAAUAAGCACCGGCUAACUUCGUGCCAGCCGCCGCGGUAA
RNAcentral lists this ribosomal RNA (506 nucleotides) under uncultured bacterium. Its description in RNAcentral is "partial 16S ribosomal RNA". It matches the Rfam family "Bacterial small subunit ribosomal RNA", at positions 29 to 523 of the family's 1533-position model. The record is from RNAcentral.